GCCACACCACCCCCAGUCGCUGCACCACCCACUGCUACUCCUCCCCCCACAGUAGCUACACCACCUCCUGCAGCAUCACCCACUGCUGCGACCCCACCUGCUACUCCACCCGCUGCUGCUACACCACCCUCCGUAUCUGCACCUGCUCCUUCACCGGUGAUGAAGUCACCACCUGCACCCUCACCUGGGGCCCCUGUUGGUGAACCCACUGCUGCUACACCAACAGGUGGGGUACCGAGCCCCGUUGCUCCAGUGCCAGCUCCCGCUUCGGACACUGGAAGCCCCGACAACAGUGCUUUCUCCAAU
RNAcentral lists this long non-coding RNA (306 nucleotides) under Amborella trichopoda. Its description in RNAcentral is "long non-coding RNA (ATRI_LNC001829)". Lineage: Eukaryota; Viridiplantae; Streptophyta; Magnoliopsida; Amborellales; Amborellaceae. The record is from RNAcentral.